AAUAGAUACCCCGGUAGUCCACGCCGUAAACGAUGAGUGCUAAGUGUUAGAGGGUUUCCGCCCUUUAGUGCUGCAGCUAACGCAUUAAGCACUCCGCCUGGGGAGUACGGCCGCAAGGCUGAAACUCAAAGGAAUUGACGGGGGCCCGCACAAGCGGUGGAGCAUGUGGUUUAAUUCGAAGCAACGCGAAGAACCUUACCAGGUCUUGACAUCCUCUGACAACCCUAGAGAUAGGGCUUUCUCCUUCGGGGGACAGAGUGACAGGUGGUGCAUGGUUGUCGUCAGCUCGUAUCGUGAGAUGUUGGGUUAAGUCCCGCAACGAGCGCAACCCUUGAUCUUAGUUGCCAGCAUUCAGUUGGGCACUCUAAGGUGACUGCCGGUGACAAACCGGAGGAAGGUGGGGAUGACGUCAAAUCAUCAUGCCCCUUAUGACCUGGGCUACACACGUGCUACAAUGGAUGGUACAAAGGGCUGCAACCUGUGAAGGUAAGCGAAUCCCAUAAAGCCAUUCUCAGUUCGGAUUGCAGG
Molecule: ribosomal RNA, 528 nt
Filed under: uncultured bacterium
Lineage: Bacteria
Description: bacterial SSU rRNA
Rfam family: Bacterial small subunit ribosomal RNA
Source: RNAcentral